GAUUUUGGGGCGGGGCACAGUGGUGGAAACUAGAAUCAGAGUCAUCUAUCGAGAGAAAACUGAGUUUUCGACGGCCAUUUUGGACGCUUUUCCUAUUGAUGUAAGAAGCUGUAAGAUGUAAAGAAGCUCUAGAAAUUCGGGAUUGGCGCCAAAAUGGUUGGCAAUUGUGCUGUUCCACAUUGUAAUUCAACAUACUGUAAAAGUGCGCAAAUAAAAAGUGGAAUGGCUCUGUUCUCCGUCCCAAAAACAGCCGUAGGAUUAUGGCAACAGCAAAUACCGUCAAUCAUUUUGACGAACAAUUCUCGUAUUUGGACGCGUCAUUUUGAUGAGAAUGACAUAAAAAGUGUUUCAUGCGUUUAAACGAUGGGUUUUGAAGGAAGGAGCCAUUCCGAGAUAUUUCCUGACACCCAAUGAAACUUCCCGACAACCAUUACAAAGCAUUUGCAAUGUGAAUAGGAGAAACAAUUCAAUAGCAAACCCUACUGUCGAUGAAAAGUGCAGGAAGCAUCCAAAUAAAGAAAGAUAUGCCUUUGCGAAGAAGAGCAGCCUAAACAAAAAGAUUUCUUAUGAUUUGGCCACCCCCAUGGAAGUCGUUCCAGAUGAGAACCUUUCAGUUGAAAAGCAGUUACCAGCUAUGGCUAAACAACCUGCAUCAGUAGUCGUAGAAACAAUACCGACACUACCAACAAUGGUGAAAUUGACGCCGAUGGAUGAUGUUCAGGAUCCGAAUACCUCAAAUGAGUCAGAAUUGAACAUUACAACUGAAGAAACCGUUAAUGAAAAUGCAGAAAUAAACUUUCACAACUAGCACACACCUCAAGUACUGCUCAAUCAUCUUCAACUACAGAUGAGAGUAUAUGGAACUUCAAACCAAGCUUGAUCACGUAUUUCACAUUGGUGUCCCAAAUGGAAUUACCUGACGGUCGGAUAUGGUCAUUCAACCAAGCCAAAAACG
Long non-coding RNA from Daphnia magna, 955 nucleotides. RefSeq lists it as uncharacterized. The transcript is spliced from 6 exons. The record is from RefSeq and is a predicted model, not a curated record. NCBI's taxonomy places the organism in Eukaryota, Metazoa, Arthropoda, Branchiopoda, Diplostraca, Daphniidae.